UGGUAAUUGGUAAAUAAAAUCUGUUCUUUUUGGUAUGGGUUGCUCUGGUCUAAGUUGGAUAUUGAAAGGUUUGAGUUUUUUGGCUUGGUGAGUAGUUACUUCUAUCCCUUUUCCUUUAUCUAUUUUGUCAUAUUUUUCUUGGCUAAUUGUUAUCUCCUUAAAUUCUUGCAGGUCUAUUUCUUGCUCUUUUUUGCUGUCUUCCAUAUGGCUAAUUCUGC
This 218-nucleotide long non-coding RNA is filed under the name Nicotiana benthamiana. Its description in RNAcentral is "long non-coding RNA (NBEN_LNC040113)". Lineage: Eukaryota; Viridiplantae; Streptophyta; Magnoliopsida; Solanales; Solanaceae. The record is from RNAcentral.